RNAcentral lists this ribosomal RNA (1475 nucleotides) under uncultured Bordetella sp. RNAcentral describes it as "partial 16S-23S ribosomal RNA intergenic spacer". It matches the Rfam family "Bacterial small subunit ribosomal RNA". Lineage: Bacteria; Pseudomonadati; Pseudomonadota; Betaproteobacteria; Burkholderiales; Alcaligenaceae. The record is from RNAcentral.
AGUUUGAUUAUGGCUCAGAUUGAACGCUGGCGGGAUGCUUUACACAUGCAAGUCGAACGGCAGCACGGACUUCGGUCUGGUGGCGAGUGGCGAACGGGUGAGAACGUGCCUAGUAGCGGGGGAUAACUACGCGAAAGCGUAGCUAAUACCGCAUACGCCCUUCGGGGGAAAGCGGGGACCUUCGGGCCUCGCACUAUUAGAGCGGCUGAUAUCGGACAUAGCUAGUUGGUGGGGUAACGGCUCACCAAGCAGCGACGAUCCGUAGCUGGUUUGAGAGGACGACCAGCCACACUGGACUGAGACACGGCCCAGACUCUACGGGAGGCAGCAGUGGGGAAUUUUGGACAAUGGGGGAAACCCUGAUCCAGCCAUCCCGCGUGUGCGAUGAAGGCCUUCGGGUUAAAAAGCACUUUUUGCAGGAAAAGAAACGGCACGGGAUAAUACCCCGUGCAACUGACGGUACCUGCAGAAUAAGCACCGGCUAACUACGUGCCAGCAGCCGCGGUAAUACGUAGGGUAAGCGUUAAUCGGAAUUACUGGGCGUAAAGCGUGCGCGCAGGCGGUUCGGAAAGAAAGAUGUGAAAUCCCAGAGCUUAACUUUGGAACUGCAUUUUUAACUACCGAGCUAGAGGUGUCAGAGGGAGGUGGAAUUCCGGUGUAGCAGUGAAAUGCGUAGAUAUGCGGAGGAACACCGGAUGGCGAAGGCAGCCUCCUGGGAUAACACUGACGCUCAUGCACGAAAGCGUGGGGAGCAAACAGGAUUAGAUACCCUGGUAGUCCACGCCCUAAACGAUGUCAACUAGCUGUUGGGGCCUUCGGGCCUUGGUAGCGCAGCUAACGCGUGAAGUUGACCGCCUGGGGAGUACGGUCGCAAGAUUAAAACUCAAAGGAAUUGACGGGACCCGCACAAGCGGUGGAUGAUGUGGAUUAAUUCGAUGCAACGUGCGAAAAACCUUACCUACCCUUGACAUGUCUGGAAUCCCGAAGAGAUUUGGGAGUGCCUGCAAGAGAACCGGAACACAGGUGCUGCAUGGCUGUCGUCAGCUCGUGUCGUGAGAUGUUGGGUUAAGUCCCGCAACGAGCGCAACCCUUGUCAUUAGUUGCUACGAAAGGCACUCUAAUGAGACUGCCGGUGACAAACCGGAGGAAGGUGGGGAUGACGUCAAGUCCUCAUGGCCCUUAUGGGUAGGGGCCACACGUCAUACAAUGGUCGGGACAGAGUGGUCGCCAACCCGCGAGGGGAGCCAAUCCCAGAAACCCGAUCGUAGUCCGGAUCGCAGUCUGCAACUCGACUGCGUGAAGUCGGAAUCGCUAGUAAUCGCGGAUCAGCAUGUCGCGGUGAAUACGUUCCCGGUCUUGUACACACCGCCCGUCACACCAUGGGAGUGGGUUUUACCAGAAGUAGUUAGCCUAACCGUAAGGAGGGCGAUUACCACGGUAGGAUUCAUGACUGGGGUGAAGUCGUAACAAGGUAA